GAUGAACGCUGGCGGCGUGCCUAAUACAUGCAAGUCGUGCGGAAAGGCCACUUCGGUGGUACUCGAGCGGCGGAUGGCAGAGUAACGCGUAGGAACAUACCCCAAACUGAGGCAUAACUGCUCGAAAGAGCAGCUAAUACCGCAUGUGAUCUUCGGAUUAAAGCUUCGGCGGUUUGGGAAUGGCCUGCGUCCGAUUAGCUAGUUGGUGAGGUAAAUGCUCACCAAGGCUUCGAUCGGUAGCUGGUCUGAGAGGAUGAUCAGCCUGACUGGAACUGAGAACGGUCCAGACUCCUACGGGAGGCAGCAGUAGGGAAUUUUCCACAAUGGGCGAAAGCCUGAUGGAGCAACGCCGCGUGCAGGAUGAAUGCCUUCGGGUUGUAAACUGCUUUUAUAGUGAAGAAUAUGACGGUAACUAAUGAAUAAGGGUCGGCUAACUAACGUGCCAGCAGCCGCGGUAAU
This 459-nucleotide ribosomal RNA is filed under the name uncultured bacterium. Its description in RNAcentral is "bacterial SSU rRNA". It matches the Rfam family "Bacterial small subunit ribosomal RNA", at positions 28 to 524 of the family's 1533-position model. The record is from RNAcentral.